GGUUCGAUUCUGGCUCAGAUUGAACGCUGGCGGGAUGCUUUACACAUGCAAGUCGAACGUACGGACUUCGGUCUGGUGGCGAGUGGCGAACGGGUGAGUAAUGUAUCGGAACGUGCCUAUUAGCAGGGGAUAACUACGCGAAAGCGUAGCUAAUACGCCGCCUGCGGGGGAAAGCGGGGGGACCUUCGGGCCUCGCACUAUUAGAGCGGCCGAUAUCGGAUUAGCUAGUUGGUGGGGUAACGGCUCACCAAGGCGACGAUCCGUAGCUGGUUUGAGAGGACGACCAGCCACGCAGGACUGAGAUUACGGCCCAGACUCCUACGGGAGGCAGCAGUGGGGAAUUUUGGACAAUGGGGAAACCCACCGUUCCAGCCAUCCCGCGUGUGCGAUGAAGGCCUUCGGGUUGUAAAAGCACUUUUGUAGCGGGAAAGAAGCGGCAGGAUAAUACCCGUGCAACUGACGGUACCUGCAGAAUAAGCACCGGCUAACUACGUGCGGCUGACGCAGUAAUACAUAGGAGUGCAAGCGUCAAUCAGGACACUAGAUAAGCGUGCGCAGGCAGUUCGGAAAGAAAGAUGUGAAAUCCCAGAGCUUAACUUUGGAACUGCAUUUUUUUUAACUUCUGACUGGAUGUGUCAGAGGAGGUGGAAUUCCGCGUGUAGCGGUGAAAUAGUAGAUAUGCGGGCUUUCGAUGGCGAAGGCAGCCUCCUGGGAUAACACUGACGCUCAUGCACGAAAAGCGUGGGCAAACAGGAUUGAAUGCCCUGGUAGUCCACGCCCUAAACGAUGUCAGCAGCUGUUGGGGCCUUCGGGCCUUGGUAGCGCAGCUAACGCGUGAAGUUGACCGCCUGGAGUACAGUCGCAAGAUUAAAACUCAAAGGAAUUGACGGGGACCCGCACAAGCGGUGGAUGAUGUGGAUUAAUUCGAUGCAACGCGAAAAACCUUACCUACCCUUGACGCUGUCUGGAAUCCCGAAGGGUGGUGCUCGCAAGAGAACCGGAACACAGGUGCUGCAUGGCUGUCGUCAGCUCGUGUCGUGAGAUGUUGGGUUAAGUCCGCAACGAGCGCGGUAUAAUCAUUAGUUACCUUACGAAAGGGUACUCUAAUGAGACUGCCGGUGACAAACCGGAGGAAGGUGAGGAUGACGUCAAGUCCUCUGGCCCUUAUGGGUAGGGCUUCACGUCAUACAAUGGUCGGGACAGAGGUCGCCAACCCGCGAGGGGGAACCAAUCCAGAAACCCGAUCGUAGUCCGGAUCGCAGUCUGCAACUCGACUGCGUGAGUCCAGAAUCAUAUGUCGCGGAUCAGCAUGUCGCGGUGAAUAUUCGUUCCGGGUCUUGUACCACCGCCCAUCACCAUGGGGUGGGUUUUACCAGAAGUAGUUAGCCUAACGUAAGGGCGAUUACAGGUAAGUUGUGACUGGGGUGAAGUCGUAACAAAGGGUAG
RNAcentral lists this ribosomal RNA (1446 nucleotides) under uncultured Bordetella sp. RNAcentral's name for it is "partial 16S-23S ribosomal RNA intergenic spacer". It matches the Rfam family "Bacterial small subunit ribosomal RNA". Lineage: Bacteria; Pseudomonadati; Pseudomonadota; Betaproteobacteria; Burkholderiales; Alcaligenaceae. The record is from RNAcentral.